This is a long non-coding RNA of Neofelis nebulosa (Clouded leopard), 6165 nucleotides long. RefSeq lists it as uncharacterized. The transcript is spliced from 4 exons. The record is from RefSeq and is a predicted model, not a curated record. NCBI's taxonomy places the organism in Eukaryota, Metazoa, Chordata, Mammalia, Carnivora, Felidae.
GACACAAAGGGAAGGAGAGAGAAUCCCAAGCAGGCUCCAUGCUGUCGGUGCAGAGCCCAACAUGGGGCUCAAACUCACGAACGUGAGGUCAUGACCUGAGCUGAAAUCGAGAGUCAGGCGCUUACCCGACUGAGCCGCUCAGGCACCCUGAAUUUAGUUUUGGAUUAAGUUAGCCCAUGUUGGUGUUUCUUUGCUUGGAACUAAAGAACUCCCCCUCAGAUAAGAACCCCAAAUAUUUCAUUGAAUAUGCUCAUCUCUGUCUGGCUCUGGAUAGAAAGUCAAUUUCUCCCCGCACACCCUCGGCCUCAACAUCCUAGCCCAAAUAUUUUCAGCUUAGGGAAAAAUGAGUCCUCCCCCUUAAAUAGGAACUGUGACAUGCUGGGUCGUAUGAAAGCACUGGCGAUUUUUUUCCCCCUUCCUUUUUCCAUGAAUGCAAACUUCUUACCAUGUCUCACCCAGGGGCAGCCAAACAUCUCCUCUCAAAAGGACCCUUCAGAGAGGAGAGGGAGUGAGGGCCUGCCCACCACCCGAGUCUCACGCAUUGCUGCUGUAGGACCUGGCUUUGCUCAUCCUAUGGUCCUCGAGCUAUAAAGCAGGCUCUGGCAUCGACCUCAGAGAUCGGUCACCUCUAGCAGAAGCACCUCAGACCCUAUGAAAAAGGUCGUCGGACAUCAAAAAGCAGUGCUCUCAACCACACGGGGCUGUGUCACAGGCAGUGCCGGAAGAAUAGCCCCACCCACCCUAGCAAAAUCUUUCUUCUCCAUCACAGCUCCGCGCAGAGGCAACAUCAACACGAACGGUGCAGGACGGGCAAGGACCCUCGAUUGCCGCCACAGCCACUGCUGCUGGACAAGCGUGGACAAGAUCUCCCAGCUCCAGAGGACAUGUUUUACAUCUCAAGGCAUCUCUUCCUGCAUUUGAUGCAUCUCAAAAUCCCAUAAGGGAAGAAGAUGCCGAGACAGAACGAGGAGUACAUAAGGUUUUGGGGGGAGUAACACCUGGGAGGAAAUGUGAGGAAGCAAGAAUGGUCAUGAGGAAGGCACCCGAUCAGGAUACGGAGCAAAAGCGCCUGUUGGAUCCGAGUCCUCAUCAGGAGGAAAUGGCCAGGUCUUUGUUCCAUGGCCUUGCUCACUUACUGGCUAGUGCCACUCAGAACCGUGUGUGACUUUGGCUCAAAAGUUGCUCACAGAGGAGGCUGUGAGCUAGCUACCCUCUCCAUCGCUGGGCAGGGAGUCCCAUCUUACAGGGGUAGCUGGGUAGUGUAUCUGUAUCUGCCACACCCCACCUUCCCCCUGACUCUGUGAGGCGAUUUUACCCUUCGUGGUUCUUCAUGAAGACAACAGAACUCUAUAAAUGACAGUGUGUGAAUUGCCCUUGGGAAAUAGGCCAUCUCUCAACCAGCAACAUUAGAAAGAAAGUUAUAACCAUACGUCAGUAUAGUUGAAUCAGCUAAAAAGUGAGGUGCCCCUAGGAUAUGGGACUGCGUUUCAUUUAAGCAGAAUCUCCUUCUGCAGAGGGAGCGCCUUGCGAAUCUGAAAUAAGAUCAGAGAAGGGCUUGCUGCAGCAGUCUGGCCAUCCUCUGCCGACGAACGUGAACCCUCGUGAACAGGUGAGUCCUGCCCGUUUACUGUGGGGAAGUCCCUUUGCUAAGAAAGAUGAAGCAGUCCCAGGAUGGUAGGAAGCAGCCUCGGGAAGGAGCCUUAGGAAGAAGGAGUCUAUUCUAAGGUCAGUCCCUUCACUUAGCCUGGGCUAUGAGGGUGUAUUGAGCAAGUGGCAUCAAGAAAAAGACCGAAAGCGAUCCAGCUAGUGGAAACUAUCUGCGACAUCAAACCUGAGAAUGGGGGCCAUGGCCUGUUAGUUCAGUUUCAAACACGGGAACAGUUAACCUCCAAAGAUUCAUCUUCCAGAAGCUACCAUGAUGGUUUCCAAGGGAGAGCCUACGUAGACCAAGGAGAGCGGAGGGGAGAUGGGAGACAAGGAAAGCCGGGCCAUCCCCUAGCCUUGCCUCCAGCUUCCUUCAGAAGAGUGGUCCCAUCCUUAUCUGUUGUAUUUCUUAGGAUUGUGUGUGAGGUUACAUUUAAGAAAAGGUUCUUUCACGAAGAUAAAUGCGUCCGAUAACUACAGUUUCCUCAGUCUCCCCUGAAAUCUACUGAAAUAGAAUCUCCCAGGAGUGUGUUCUUCCACAAUGCUGCUCAAUGCGCCCCCUGAUAGGAUGGGUAGCUGGACGAUAGAUGACAUAGAUAGAUGGUAGAUAGAUAGAUAGAUAGAUAGUAUAUUUACCAACAUACUAAUAUAUAAUGCAUAUUGUAACAUACACACAAAAGUAGAAAAUUUUAAAUGAAUGUAAUAGAGGCUCUAGUAUUUUCUCUUUGCACCCAAGGGAUCAUCUUGAUUUCCCCUGAUGUAGGCACACCUUGCACUGGAGCUUUCUCAGUCUUAUCUACGAUAGCAAGAACGUGUGGGAAAGGAAGGGAUGACGCAACCCUGCUUACAGGUGUAAAUCCAUCCCACGGUGUUUAAUGGCCCCCGAGCCACUGAGAUAGCGAGCGGCACGCUCCGUCCUAGCCCAUUCCUUCCUCUGUACCAGGGGUAGGGCUUAGGGGUAGAGUGCAUAGUGACUGUCGUUGAUUACUACACGGUGGGAAAAGAAUAAAUGUCUUUUUCCAGACCAGAUGGAUCCUUUCUCCCUCUCCCCUUUGAGCACAGAUGAAAUCCAACUUAAGCAAAAUUGAUAUUUCAAAACUGAGCUCCAAUGUUUAGAACAACGAGUGGAGCUGCUGACGCUUUAGUUGCUGGAAUGUUCUCUAGCUCAACUCUGAAGGUCCAUCGUCAGCAUGUGGGCCUGAUGUCUGGGCAACAAUCAGAGAAGGACCAGUGUGAGGGGCAUUGUCCCCGGGCAAGGUGGGUGGAGAGGAGACUGCAAGGCCCGAGCGGGCAAAGGCAAGGCUCGUCAACACCGCGGGGACUUAGGACGUAUGAGAAAGGCACCACAUGUGUUUGUGUCACUUCUGUGACUCAGCUUCUAUUUCAGCCACUGAUAAAUAAAGGACUGUUUCCAGGUAUGCUAUGUUUGGUUAAACCCUAAACUUGGACAUUAAGUAUAGCCCUAAGGUUCCCAAGACUACAUUGCUCUAAACCACAAUUAUUUCACACAUGCUGGAGUGAAAAGAAAAUUAAAAUUAGAAGCAUAAAGAAAAUGAAAUAAGUGUCUGUGGGUUUCCCACACAACCUGCAAAUCUCCCUUCUGUAACAGUACAACACAGCAGUUCUGCUUCUGUUUUGACAGCUCUUUCCACCUCGGGGACCCAUUUUCGGUACUGUUUCCCCAAUGUGUUUCCCCCCCCUCCCCGUUUUGUUCAUUCACAGUCUCUCUCCCCACCCCCCCACGCCUUUCCUUCCAAAUUCCCAGGUGCCAAUCUGCUUUUCCAACUCCACCUCCAGAUACGUGUACGGGCUUUGCCCCAAAGCCUCCCUAGUGAGCAGUAUCACUUUCUGGGGAUAGUAAGCACUGAGUCAUUGCCUCCUUCUUACCACAGUUUCCAAAACACAGUCUUAUUUCACCCUUGUCUCUACCCAGAUCUCCGAAAGUCUGGGCCACCAUGUACGUAAACAGACUCCUAAUGGGGGAUCCCCGGCCCAUCUUCCUAACACCCUCUCACUCUCUAUCCCUCCUCGAUGUCUGUCCUCCCAAAAGUCGGAAGAAAGCAGAGCUUAAGGGACUAGGACCCUUCAGGAUCCAUCCUUCUCUGUAACUCAGACACCUGGUCAACAGAGGAAAACACGCUUCUGCUAUGAAAACAAGGCUCGGAGAUUUGUAGAGAAUGGCACCGUGAAGACAAGAUAGUACCAUGGUCCGUUCCCUCUCAGCGGCACCACCUGGGCAGGAACGGUACAACCUAAAGAUGAGCCCAGAUUGUCUCUGAAGUGGGUAGCUAAGCGAAUUGUAUUCUUUUGUUGUUGUUGUUGUUGUUGUUGUUCUCCCAGCCCCAGUGAGAAGCAGCAAGGGAUUUAAAUGCGAGUAGUUGAAGACGAAAGUUCUCAGAUUUUUAUGUUAAAUACAAGUGUACUUAUCCCUUGAUCAUAGCCAUACAAGGCAGCACCUUUAAGACACUGAUCUGAGGGGGAUGCACGUUCAAAAUGAGAACACUGCUAGGCAGCAAAAUCAAUCAGAUUGCCCUCUUAGAUACACCCAAGGUGAAGCAGCUUGAACUGGGUGUUCCUACCUCUUUCGAUCCUCCCCCUGCUGGAAAAAUCGGUCUCCUGGUGACUCAGAAUUAGUUCAAGAUACUUCCCCACACCCUUACUCUCUGUCAAGAUCAAGCCUGUUCCCCGCUGAUUUCCAACACUGACCCCACACGCCCUCAGGUGAUCCCUCUACCAAGGCGCGCACAGCUUUCCAUUCGGGAGGCAAAGGACAGCGUGUAUAGCAGCCUGUGCCUUUAAAGCUCCUCAAAGCCCUGCCCCAGCCUUCCCGGAGGAAUGUAUUCAGGAAUUCUUGAGCCCACCAUACCUUCAUUUUCCAGAAGAGGAAAUGCCUUCUCGUCUUCCAGAACUGCUGCUUGUCUGGCUUAGAUUUUAGAGGCAGCGUGAUCUAGAACACUUGCAAAUGCGUGCUCGUUGCAAGACUACUGAAAUAGAACAAACCAAGCCAACGACAACAACAGAGGAGGAUGGGUAAAGCGUCCCCAUGAAUAAAAUGGGGUGUUGCCCCUGAAAUGAUGCAGUGGGGGUGGGGCCCCUGCAAGGAGUCCGCUCACCUGGUCCCCAGGCCUCAAAAAAGAAUUUGCAUUCCACAGGGCUGCCCGAUGGCACACGGCAGAUCACCUAAUGUUCCUUCUGCAACAUGUUCAAUCAUAUUUGGGAAUUAGCAUCUAACUCGGGAGCUACCUGUCUCAGGGUGGAUCCAUGAACAUGACAUAAACCCAGUGCUCGACAGCCCCAGUGACUCAAGUAACCAGAGGUCAAUCGAUCCUUCUUCUGUCUUCAUCUACCUCCCGAACAGAGCUCUCAGCCAGGACUGUCUGCGGCUGCCUCUGAUCCCUUUUCCGGUGCCCUUCUUCCAGAACAUGUGAAGGAAGCAGAGGUUAAGGAACCAGGACUUCCAGGAUCCAGUUCUCUUCUGUAUGUCAGUGAUCAGAUAGAGUAUUUUCGCUGCCAAGGAAGACUCUGAACCUCUUAGAUCUGAGGAUCAACAGCCAUCAAUAACCACAACUCCUCUCAUCUCCUUGGAGACCACAGACCAUACAGGUACCUCUCUGUUUUGUUUUCUAAAGGCCACGACUUAACCGUGCCAUGGAGAAUUAACCAUGGAGGGUCAAGUCACCUCUUCUGUGUUGUAUGAUCCUGAGUCCUUGAGCAUAAGAAACAGAAAUCAAGUCUGGAUUAACUGAAACAGAAACGAUAUUUGUCGUCAGGGUUUAGCGACGUUCACAGAAUAGGCAGGAAGGCGGGAGAGGGAGGCUUGGGAAAAAGAAACUAGAGCAGGUCUGAGGAUCCAGGGAACAGUAAGCACCGUCAAGAUCAUGUCUUAGGAAGAACUCGUUCAAGACAUGUUGUGGCUACUACCGGUGGUCUAGCUGACCUCCUUCUGCUGUUACCACCAUUUCUGCUGAUUAAAGUAUUUCUUUGUGUCCCUCCAUCCUACGCCAUGAUCAAGAGACUCCGUGUCCUGCAAAGGAGCAUCUGACUGGAUAAGCGGAGGUUACAGCCCACGCUGCCAGAACUCAGAAGUUCCCUCUUCAGGCUUCUAUAGGAGGAGGCUCUUCCCAAAUCCAGAGGACAUGGGCCUUCUGUUGAAGAUAAGCUCACAACAUCAAAGGAAGUUAAACGAUAAACUAUGUGAGUACGUAAAUGCCAUUAGAGAGAAUCAUCAGGUACCAUAAACAAAAGGGUUAGCACCCGAGGUGCUGAACUUGAUAGAACAAUCUAGAAGAGACAACAAAAUCAUCAUGUUUCAAGUAACUAAGGAGUUUUAAGAAUGGAGGAAGGAGGGGCGCCUAGGUGGCUCAGUAGGUUCAAUGUCUGACUCUUGAUAUCCGCUCAGGUCAGGAUCUUGCAGUCAUGGGACCACACUCAAUGCUGAGCACGGAGCCUGUUUAACAUUCUCUCUCUCCCUCCCUUUGUGCCCCUCCCCUGCUUACUCUCUCUCCCUCUCUUUUCUCUCUC